AGCUCUGCCAGGCAACGCUGCUCAAGUGUCCCUGUGAAAUCAACGGAAGGCUUCACUGGGGCUGGAGUUACCCACUUCCUCCUCUCUCCAUUUUGACUUCCUCCUUCUACAGGCAGCUAUCUUCGAUCCCAUCCUAGUAAACCUACAUAUCUGUUUGCAUCACAAAAUGUGCUUCCUGAGAAACCUGAGCUGCAAAGCUUAGACUGCCUCUCUGAAGCUCGUCUGGCUGGCUUCUCAGAAGACACGAGAAUCUGGGACACCCGGGAAGUUUUCGUGAGCUCAGUCCAGGCUCUUUCCAGGGUUCUCUAGUCCUGGUGGCCAGUAAGCAGCUGCUCAUCUGAAAAGGCGCUUCCCUCCUCAGUGUUCCACUAGCCUCAUAGGCGGAAAAAGAAUUUUUUUUUUACCUUCCAGGAUUACAUCCACCCUAUGAACCUACUGCCAGAGAGCUUGUUUUCCAACAGCAUCUCAUGGGACGUUGUGCUAAUCCCUUAUGCUGAUGAUGUAAGGCGUACGCUCAGGUGGUGGUAAGCGGAUAAGAGAGGGAUGAUAUUGACCAACGGCUGCUCCUCCUGGUCACAUGCGACGUUUCCUGCCAUACUGUUGGGCUGCCAGACUGAAUUUUAGGUUGAACUCUACGUGUCUUUGUGUCUGUGUAUAACUGGAGGAGGCUGAAGGAGGGCACUGGAUCCCUGAAGCUGAAGUUACACUCGGUUAAGAGCCACGUGACACGGAUCUGGGAACAGAACACGGACUCUGUAAGGGCAGCGUGUGCUCUCUCCAGCACCAUAAGACCAUGAGUCUAUUAAAAGGCUCGGUUUCCGUA
Non-coding RNA from Rattus norvegicus (Norway rat), 823 nucleotides. Lineage: Eukaryota; Metazoa; Chordata; Mammalia; Rodentia; Muridae. The record is from RefSeq and is a predicted model, not a curated record.